Molecule: long non-coding RNA, 347 nt
Filed under: Numida meleagris (helmeted guineafowl)
Lineage: Eukaryota; Metazoa; Chordata; Aves; Galliformes; Numididae
Description: lncRNA (ENSNMEG00000003077.1)
Source: RNAcentral
ACGGACAAGUAUGGACCAGUAUAAACCAGUACGGACCAGUACGAAUCAGUACAGACCACUAUGGACCCGUAUAAACCAGGACGGACCAGAACAGACCAGUCCAUCCCAGUCCGUCCCAGUUCCCUCCCAGUCCCUCCCAGUUCCUCCCAGUCCCUCCCAGUUCCUCCCAGUCCCUCUCAGUCCCAUCCCAGUCCCUCCCAGUCCCUCCCAUUCCCUCCCAGUCCAUCCCAGUUCCUCCCAGUUCCCACCAGUCCCAUCCCAGUCCAUCCCAGUCCCUCCCAGUCCCUCCCAGUUGCUCCCAGUUCCCACCUGCUCGUGCACGGCGCUGCCCAUGACGCUGAACACGC